Molecule: ribosomal RNA, 253 nt
Filed under: uncultured bacterium
Lineage: Bacteria
Description: partial 16S ribosomal RNA
Rfam family: Bacterial small subunit ribosomal RNA
Source: RNAcentral
GACGAACCGUGCGAACGUUGUUCGGAAUCACUGGGCUUAAAGGGCGCGUAGGCGGCCUGCAUGGUCGGGGGUGAAAUCCCGCAGCUCAACUGCGGAAGUGCCUUCGAUACCGGCGGGCUCGAGGAAGGUAGGGGUGCGCGGAACUUCUGGUGGAGCGGUGAAAUGCGUUGAUAUCAGAAGGAACGCCGGCGGCGAAAGCGGCGCACUGGACCUUUUCUGACGCUGAUGCGCGAAAGCCAGGGGAGCAAACGGG